RNAcentral lists this long non-coding RNA (6361 nucleotides) under Sus scrofa (pig). RNAcentral describes it as "lncRNA (ENSSSCG00035018067.1)". Lineage: Eukaryota; Metazoa; Chordata; Mammalia; Artiodactyla; Suidae. The record is from RNAcentral.
GUGACUUCUUUUUCAUUUCUGAUUUUGUUUAUUUGGGUUUUUUCUCUCCUCUUCUUGGUGAGUCCAGCCAGAGGUUUGUCAAUUUUGUUUACCUUUUCAAAGAACCAGCUCUUGGUUUUAUUGAUUUCUUCUAUUGUUUUUUCAGUCUCUAUUUUAUUGAUUUCCUCUUUGAUCUUUAUGAUUUCCUUCUUUCUGCUGACUUUAGGUUUUUUUUGUUCUUCUUUUUCUAAUUCAUUUAGGCGGUGGGUUAAGUUAUUGAUUUGAGAUUUUUCUUCUUUUUUGAGGAAGGCCUGUAUUGCUAUGAAUUUCCCUCUGAGCACUGCUUUUGUGGCAUCCCAUAGAUUUUGAGUGGUUGUGUCUUCAUUAUCAUUUGUCUCGAGGUAUUUUUAAAUUUCCUCCUUGAUUUCCCCUUUCACCCAUUGUUUUUUUUAGUAGCAUGUUGUUUAGUCUCCAUGUAGUAAGUUUUUUCUCAUUUUUUUUCCUUUGGUUGAUUUCUAGUUUUAUACCAUUGUGGUCAGAGAAUAUUCUUGAAAUAAUUUCUGUAUUCUUAAAUUUGUUGAGGUUAGCUUUGUGCCCCAGUAUGUGAUCAAUUCUUGAGAAUGUUCCAUGUGCACUUGAAAAGAAUGUAUAUUCUGAUUUUUUGGAUGUAAUGUCCUGAAAAUGUCAAGUCUAACUUUUCUAUUGUGUCCUUUAUGAUCUCUGUUGCCUUAUUGAUUUUCUGUCUAGAGGAUCUGUCCAUUGAUGUGAGUGGGGUGUCAAAGUCUCCUACUAUGAUUCUAUUCCCAUUGAUUGCUCCUUUUAUGUCUGUUAGUAUUUGUUGUAGGUAUCUGGGUGCUCCUAUAUUAGGGGCGUAUGUAUUCACGAUUAUAAUAUCCUCUUCUUCAAUGGAUCCUUUUAUCAUUAAAUAGUGUCCUUCUUUGUCUUUCUUUAUGGGCUUUCUUUUAAAGUCUAUUUUGUUUGAUAUGAGUAUUGCAGCUCCUGCUUUCUUGUCUUGUCCAUUGGCAUGAAAUAUCUUUUCUUAUACCCUCACUUUCAAUCUAUAUGUGUCCUCUGCUCUAAGGUAAGUUUCUUGUAGGCAGCAGAUUGAAGUUUUUUGCUUUUUUUAUCCAAGCUUCUACUCUGUGACUUUUGAUUGGAGAAUUUAGUCCAUUGACAUUUAAGGUAAUUAUUGAUAGAUAUGUAUUUAUUGCCAUUUUAAACCUUGUUUUCCAGUUGAUUCUAUGUUUCUCUUUUCUUCUUUUCUUUUUUGGGUUGGAUGGUUUCCAUUUAUUUUAGGCUUGAGUACUUUUCUUUUCACUUUUUGUGACUGUAACGUUUGGUUUUGAUUUGUGGUUGCCUAUUUUUUAAGCACAUUAAGCCCUUCCCAUAUCUGCUUUCUUUUGCCUGAUAGUCAUAUAGGUUCAGACAUUGUAUGAUUUUGAUGCUUUUUUUUUUUUUAACAUCUUCAUGUUUAGAUCUGUAUGCUGGCUUAUUUAAGUGAUUACUUUCUAGUUGUGGUUUCCUCCAUCCUAAUUCUUUUUUUUUCUCUUUUUCUCUCUCUCUCUCUCUUUUUUUUUCUUUUUUUAAUUUAGAGAAGCCCUUUCAGUAUUUCUUUUAGAAUGGGUUUAGUAUUGCUGUACUCUUUUAGCUUUUGUUUGUUGGAGAAAUUCUUUAUUUCCUCUUCUAUUUUAAAUGAUAUUCUUGCUGAUAGAGUAUUCUGGGUUGCAGAUUUUUUUCCUUUCAGCACUUUAAAUAUAUCUUGCCACUCCCUUCUGGCCUGUAGUGUUUCUGUAGAGAAAUCAGCUGAUAGCCUUAUGCGGGGGGUUCCCUUAUAAUUAAUGCUUUGCUUUUUUCUUGCUGCCUUUAGAAUCCUCUCUUUAUCUUUAACUUUUUCCAUUUUAUUGUAAUAUUUUUUGGUGUGGGCCUGUUUGGGUUCAGCUUGUUUGGGGCCCUCUGUGCCUCCUGUAUCUUGAUAUCAGUAGAUUUAGAUUUGGAAAAUUUUCAGCCAUAAUUUCUUCAAAUAUAUUUUCAAUUCCAUUUUCUUCUUCUUUUCCUUCUGGAAUUCCUAUUAUGCAUUGAUUGGCCUGCUUUAUAUUAUCUCAUAGUUCUCUUAUAUUGCUUUCAUGUUUUUUCAUUUGGUUUUCUGUCUGCUGUCCUGAUUGGGUUAUUUCCAUUAUUUUAUCUUCUCCAUCACUAAUUUGUUCUUCUGCAUUAUUCAUUCUGCUCUUUAUUGUGUUAAGCUCAGUUUGUAUCUCUGCAAAUGAAUUUUCUAGUUUUUCUUGGCUCCUCCUAUAUUUUCUAGUUCCUUUCUAAAUGAAUCUGCAUUACUGUUGAUAUCCUCUCUUAAUUCCUUCAGUAUUUUCAAUUCCUCCCUUUUGAACUCAAUGUCUGUCAGACUACAGAGGUUUGUUUCAUUGUUGUCUGCUUUAGGUGAAUUCUCCUGUUCCUUUAACUGGAAAUGGUUUCUGUGCUUCUUCAUCUUGCUUGUGUUUUUCUUUUUCUGUGAGUUCAGGAAAGCCAAACUGUGGUCUUGUAAAGCUACUUCUAUGCAAUAAUACCCCUUUGCAUUUUUUGGGUGGAUUACUAUUUAUUUUUGGUGUGAGAGUUUGAAUAUUUGCUGUCUAUUUCUUCAGUGUGAGCAGGCUGUUUUUCCCAGGAUGCUCAGUGUGUUUUCAGGGAGUAGGAGGCAAUGGGUGGGGCCAGCAGUCUUUGCCUGGUAUUGGGCUCUCAACAGCAGCAAGGACCUGUAGGAAGGUAGCACAGGCUACUCCUAGUUGCAGGGCCCUGGUAAGUGGUAAUAAGCUCUAGGCAGAUCUUCAAGGUGACCAGAGCAUUUGGCAGUAGCAAGAGCAGGGUGCGUGAGUUCCCAGGGGACUGAGAGCAACAACAGCUUGUGUUUGAUUGCAGUGCCCGCCUCUGAGGUGAUUGGAACCGCAGGUGGUGCCUGUGCAGGGACCCCUAUUGGGAGCAGGCCAUGACCAUCUCUAGAGUCAGAGAUAACUGUGUUGGUUUGCCCCUACCACCUGUAGACCAUGCAUGAAGCAACCCGUCUCACUUAGCCCAUAUAUGAGGUGUUGUAAAGGGUGCUCCUAGUUGCAGGAUCCUGGGAAGUGACAGAGAUCAGGCAUGUGGGUACUUCCUGGAACGUUUGGCAGUGGCAACAGCAGGGCAGGUGUGUUCCUGGGGGUGUGAGAGCACCAACAGUUGGUGUUCGGUCACAAUGCUGUGGUUCCCUUUAGGUGAAUGGGGCUGGAAGUGAUUUUUAUUCAGCUAUCUCCAAUGGCAGUGGGCCACACCCACCUCUGGAAUCAGGGAUACCUGUGGCAGUUUGUCCUGCCCCCUCCAGACCACGCAAGAAGCACCCUGUCCCACUUAGCCCACGCAGGAAGUUCUGCACCAGUUGCUCCUAGUUGUAGGGUCUUGGGAAUGGACAGUGACCGAGUGUCUGGAGGUCACCCAGAGCGUUUGGCUGUGGCAGCUGCAGGAUGGGUGUGUUCCCUCCGGAGUGAGAGCAACAGUGUAUGGUGCUUUGUUGCAAUGCCCUCCUUUUUUUCUUUUUUAGCAACCCCUGAGGUAUCAAUGGAGGAGCCCGAUGGUGGAGCCCACUCACAGGCCCCCAGUGGUGGCAAGCCACACCUCCCUCUGGUCUCUGAGAUGACCGCCGCAGUCUGUCCCUGCCACCUGUAGAUCGUGCAAGAGACACCACAUCACACUUAGCCCCCUUAUGCCCUUGGCCCACACGAUAGGUGCCUGGCCACCAGUAGCCUGCACAAGAAGCACCUAAUCUCCCUUCUCGCUGCCUGUAGCCUCCGCAGAGCUGCACCACCCUCUAAGCCUGCAGGCGUGCAUGUGCUCCAGCACAGGGAGUUUCCUAUGGUGGCUGCCCCUCCUCCUCUCCCCUCCCCAGCAAUGGCUCCUUGCCUCUCCUACCAGUCCGGACCUUCUCCCGGGUUUGGGUACCCUCUGCUGUGGUGUUCCCCUCCUUAGCCCGUGGUGAACUGCUCCUUAGACUCUCAUGCCAUCCCCAAUUCUCUCCCUGGGAUUGACCUCUGGAACCUGAGUCUUAGCGCCCAGCCCCCGCCCAAGCAUCUCUGGCUGUGGUGUCCAGGCCAAUGGUUCAGAUGAUCUGUGCAGUUCUCACUUUGCUUUGCUGUUCUCAGUCCAGCUGCUUCAUUUUUUCAUCGACUUCCAGGUCCCGCCAACUCAGCCAAUCUUUCAUCAAUUAGGUGGCUUCCCAGGAGGUGGGUUCCUUUUCUCCUUCAUAGCUGCCUCUCGGGAAUGCUAGUCCUGUCCUGAUUCCUUUUCUCUCUCUCUUUUUUUCUUUUGUUCUAACCAGUUAUGUCAAGAGUUUCUUGCCCUUUAUGGAGGUUUAAGUUCUUCUGCCAGCAUUCAGUCAAUGUUCUGCAUGAGUAGUAUUACAUGUAGAUGUGUUUUUUAGAUGUGUUUGUGGGAGAAGGAGUGUGUGACCUUUUACUCCUCUGCCAUCUUGUUCCACCUCCCUCAUCCUUAUUUUCAACUUUUCAUAUAGCGGCCUAGCUAUUAGAUCAUAGUUAGGGAUCCAGAUGCAGCAAAACUGGCCAUCCCCAGGGAAUACAUAAGCUGUAUUCUACUUUAGGAGGGAUAAGGCUGCAAUAUCUUCUUUCCUUUCCUGGUAUAGAUUUCUCUGAGCUUCUGUGAGAAUGAAGCCUAGGUGAGUCACCCUAGUGUGUGGUAUUUGAUCUUGUUCUUGGGCACCUUAAAUCCUUUAUCAGCCCAGUGGUUCAGAGCAGACUGUUCAGCAAUAUUGUUUUUGUUGCACGUUUGGCCACUCAAAAACAAACAAAAAUUCUUUUCUCUCUGGAGUUAAUGCAAUAUAGAAGAAAACAUCUGUUAAAUCUAAUAUAGAAUGACAGGUCCUGGUGGACAGUAGAGUGACAAGCAGGAUGUAGUGCAGGAUUAGGGACUACUUAACAUAUAUUUCAAGUGGUGACAAUGGUGGCUUAUUGAUUGUCCUGAGGUCUUGUACCACCCAGUAUUCCCCAUUGAGUUUUUAUGGGGAGAAUGGGAGUAUUACAGGAUGAUUGGUAUGGUCCAAUAAGGCCCUGGUCAAUUAGGCCCUGUAGAACAGGGCAAUGCCCAACAUGGCCUGUCAAUGGAUAGUGUACUGUUUUCUACUGGGCCAUGUAUCUCCAGGUUUUAGAUGGACUAUCACAGGACAGGUUCCUAAAGUUCAUCCCACCUGUCUCUGGGCCCAGACCUCAUGAUUUAUAUGUAGGAGAUAAAAUGAAAUACAACCUCAGGAUUCCAUUCCUUUCCAGUGACUCAUGGCCAGUGGUAGUAUAGAUCUAGAGGUAUUCCCUGAGGCUCUCUAGGAAUGCCGAAGAAUUUUCUCUUGGCUUCUGAUUUCCUCUUUCUUAUUACAGUUGACAGAUUUUUCUUCCUGCUGCCUAGAUUCUGUUUAGGAUCAUAUUUUUGUAAUUGGUCAGUCUUUGUCUUAUACCGCCUUCUUUAUUGUUUCAGUGGUCCCACUUGGGUUCAUUGUCUGCAACUGCUUAAUUUCCUGGUCUGAAAACAGCAUGACCUGCAUUGUUUCUACUCCCUUUUUCUACUUCCUCUUGGGCUUUUGAAAGAUCAUAGCCUUUUCUUCCCUCACUGGGAGUACAUUGAGGAGGCUCUGGAUCUCAGUCCAGGUAGGGUCCUAGGUCUGAAAGAUUGCUUUAAUCAGAUUGAGGAACCCUUUGGAUCUUCCCUCAGCCCCUUACUAUGACUCUUCUAGUUAUACAGAUCAGAAAUGGUCAGUAGGACCUGUACCUCGAUGAGCCCUCCUUCUCCAUCUGGGACCUGCUGGAAUGGAGUAUUCCCAUUAUAUAUAUAAGGGGGUAUUUUCUGGUAGGUUGUUGGACCCUGGCUGGUAAUUAGUCCUGCUUCAUGUACUUACUUGACUGGGUUCUAGGAGAGAGGGGUUAGUCUGGACAGGACCCCUUGGGCUGUGGCCAAAAUCAGUAGGUAUUGUGGAAGGGGCUAUGAAGGGAGCAGUAGUAGGAGGGUUAGGGAGGAGAUCCCGAAAGCCCUUAGGUGUGAGUCAAAGACUGGUAGAAGGCUUAGUCUCCUGUGCUCUUAUCAGUGAAGGCAAGCCCACAUCUCUUUCAAAAGCUUGCAUUCUGAUUUAAGACUGUAAAAAAAAAAAAAACUAGAUAUAGAUGAAAACUAUUGCAUUUGGAAUGGAUAUGCAAUGAGCUCCUGCUAUAUGGCACUGGGAACUAUGUCUAGUCACUUGUGAUGGAGCAUGAUGGAGAAUAAUGUGUAGAAAAGAAUGAAUAUAUGUAUGUGUGUCUGGAUCCCUUUGCUGUACAGUAGAAAAUUGACAGACACUAUAAACUAACUGUAAUGGAAAAAAUAAAAA